GAUGGAUCAGUUGCCAAGUUCUUAUGUAAUGAGACACAAGGAAGGGGCAAGUGCUGAGGAAGGAGAAAGAACACUAUUGCACCAGCUAAGAUUCCAUGACUUCUAUCAGCUGGGACAACUGUGGCCUCAGCUCCAGUCAUCCUGGUACACACACUAGAGGUGGCCACCCUGAGCGUCUCCUUGGUGUCCCACAGCUCAGAACUGCUUUUAGAGCUCUGCUAGUUCGGUGCAGUGGCAAUGAGCCAGAAGAAUACAUUCAUGUUAUAUCCUUCAGGGAAACACAAGCUGCUCAAAAGCUGCCCACUGGGUGUUCACAAAAUAGAGAUGUGUUAAUGCUGGCUGACAUCUUGAAGCCCUUUGUAAUCCUGUUUUCCCUUCCCAUGAUUCUACAAGAGGAAACAAGAAAGCUUCCUGCAGGGAAAAAAUGGCUCUGCUGUGCAGUUUUAACCUUGCUGGUGUGA
RNAcentral lists this long non-coding RNA (461 nucleotides) under Chrysolophus pictus (golden pheasant). RNAcentral's name for it is "lncRNA (ENSCPIG00010001989.1)". Lineage: Eukaryota; Metazoa; Chordata; Aves; Galliformes; Phasianidae. The record is from RNAcentral.